UAAAAGGGCAUACUGGAGAGCGAAAAAAACGGAUCGUGCGUCAUCCCUACAUAGAACAAGGACCAACAAGACAACUGACAACCAGGUAUCGACCACGUCCCGGUGGGUAUCAGAGGUGGCCAAUGGAAGAAAUUGGUUGCACAAAGAGAAACGCGAUGGAUCUUCAGGCUGGACACACUUGUACCUCACGGCUUAAAUGAGAUGUGUUAUGAGACUUACCAACCAGGGCCAUCACGUGACUACUUCUAGCCUCCUUCUAUCGUUGGAGUGACCUUACCACCGGAAUCAUGUUGGGACUCUCUUUCUCUUAUCAAUUUUAAAACAUACUUUUUUAUGUACA
This is a long non-coding RNA of Hyla sarda, 340 nucleotides long. RefSeq lists it as uncharacterized. Lineage: Eukaryota; Metazoa; Chordata; Amphibia; Anura; Hylidae. The record is from RefSeq and is a predicted model, not a curated record. The transcript has 3 exons.